This 513-nucleotide ribosomal RNA is filed under the name uncultured bacterium. RNAcentral describes it as "bacterial SSU rRNA". It matches the Rfam family "Bacterial small subunit ribosomal RNA", at positions 791 to 1297 of the family's 1533-position model. The record is from RNAcentral.
UAGUCCACGCCCUAAACGAUGCUUACUCGACGUGUGGCGCUUGUUCGUCGCGCGUCCUAGGGAAACCGGUAAGUAAGCCACCUGGGGAGUACGGUUCGCAAGAAUGAAAACUCAAAGGAAUUGACGGGGGUCCGGCACAAGCGGUGGAGCAUGUGGUUUAAUUCGAUGAUACGCGAGGAACCUUACCUAGGCUCGAACACUAUCGGACAACCUGUAGAAAUCAGGUCUUCCUUCGGGACUGAUAGUGAGGUGCUGCAUGGUUGUCGUCAGCUCGUGCCGUGAGGUGUUGGGUUAAGUCCCGCAACGAGCGCAACCCUUAUUCUCAGUUGCCAGCAUGUUAUGAUGGGGACUCUGGGAAGACUGCCGGCGUAAGCCGUGAGGAAGGUGGGGACGACGUCAAAUCAUCAUGGCCUUUAUGCCUAGGGCUACACACGUGCUACAAUGGUCGGUACAACGGGUCGCGUAACCUGCAAACGGGGUGCCGAAUCUCGUAAAGCCGAAUCUCAGUUCGGA